Molecule: long non-coding RNA, 140 nt
Organism: Vidua macroura (Pin-tailed whydah)
Lineage: Eukaryota; Metazoa; Chordata; Aves; Passeriformes; Viduidae
Exons: 2
Source: RefSeq, a predicted model, not a curated record
CUGCACCCCUCAACUGGGCUGGCACCAUCCCCGUGCCAGGGAUUUGGGGCUCCCUGCCAUCCUCACGCCCUGGCACAGGUGGCAAUCAGGAUGUGGCCAGUACUAGCCAAGGCAGGGCUCGUCUGCUGGACUUCUGGUGG